RNAcentral lists this long non-coding RNA (813 nucleotides) under Homo sapiens (human). RNAcentral describes it as "HSALNT0386531". Lineage: Eukaryota; Metazoa; Chordata; Mammalia; Primates; Hominidae. The record is from RNAcentral.
CAGCAAUGCUUGUAUUAUCAACAGUUUCUUAAAUUGUGAUGUCUACCUCUCAAAGUCCAGUGCAAUUUUUAUGUAAUUAGCAGCCAAGUCAAAAGAGUAAUAUCACCUUAUCUGUGAGACUGACUCAAAAUAUUCUGUUGAUGGAGUGUACAACAAUAUUCUGUGGUUCAAUGCAGAGCCCAGGGUAGAGGAUACUGUUUUAAGCCUUUCUAGUUUACUUUUUUGUUGAUUUGUUUGUCCAAUGCAUAGCCAACCCAUGCAGAAAUAAUCUUGUAAAGAUUGUUUUCUCUAAGUACAGCUCUUGGCUGGUUCUAGACACUAGAAUAUUGACAGCACUAAUUAAGUUGACUAUAUCCAAUGUCUUAGCUCAGGCCUUGAAGCAGAGCCUGAGACAGGGUUUCUUGUGAAAGUGAUUUGUUGAAAUAGGGUUCACAGGAGAAAUCUGUAGGGAAUGAGAGAAGAGGUCAAGAUGGAGAAACAACCUAGCAGAGGUGUGAUUUCCAGAAUUCAGCCUCACAUCACAGGAAACUCUAGAGCAUAAAUUGGUAUCACAGAAGUCCCACCUCAAGGAAAGAAGGUGGAGACAUUUAACUGUUGGUGCUUAACUUUCCAAACUAUGCUUCCUCUACAACAAUGUUUGUGGAAGCAUACAGUCAGGUAGAAGCCGCCAGAGAUGCUGAGUUAACACAUAGAAGACAGCUGGUCUGGGGAAUCACCUAGACCAAAAGUUAAUGUUGCAUGAGUAAACCAUUUGUUAUGAUGUGACACUGACUCUUGGGGUUACUUGGAAACCGCAUAUAACCUAGACUAUCC